AACCCUUGUCUUUAGUUGCCAUCAUUAAGUUGGGCACUCUAAAGAGACUGCCGGUGUCAAACCGGAGGAAGGUGGGGAUGACGUCAAGUCCUCAUGGCCUUUAUGACCAGGGCUACACACGUACUACAAUGGCAGGUACAAAGGGCAGCCACUUAGCGAUAAGGCGCGAAUCCCAUAAAACCUGUCUCAGUCCGGAUUGGAGUCUGCAACUCGACUCCAUGAAGUUGGAAUCGCUAGUAAUCGCAGAUCAGCACGCUGCGGUGAAUACGUUCCCGGGCCUU
RNAcentral lists this ribosomal RNA (281 nucleotides) under uncultured Desulfocapsa sp. RNAcentral's name for it is "partial 16S ribosomal RNA". It matches the Rfam family "Bacterial small subunit ribosomal RNA", at positions 1100 to 1382 of the family's 1533-position model. Lineage: Bacteria; Pseudomonadati; Thermodesulfobacteriota; Desulfobulbia; Desulfobulbales; Desulfocapsaceae. The record is from RNAcentral.